CCGGGCGGCCGUAGCGCGGUGGUCCCACCUGACCCCAUGCCGAACUCAGAAGUGAAACGCCGUAGCGCCGAUGGUAGUGUGGGGUUUCCCCAUGCGAGAGUAGGGAACUGCCAGGC
This 116-nucleotide ribosomal RNA is filed under the name Salmonella enterica subsp. enterica. The record is from RNAcentral. Lineage: Bacteria; Pseudomonadati; Pseudomonadota; Gammaproteobacteria; Enterobacterales; Enterobacteriaceae.